This 521-nucleotide ribosomal RNA is filed under the name uncultured bacterium. RNAcentral describes it as "bacterial SSU rRNA". It matches the Rfam family "Bacterial small subunit ribosomal RNA", at positions 8 to 518 of the family's 1533-position model. The record is from RNAcentral.
AGAGUUUGAUCCUGGCUCAGGAUGAACGCUAGCUACAGGCUUAACACAUGCAAGUCGAGGGGCAGCAGGACGAUAGCUUGCUAUGUUGCUGGCGACCGGCGCACGGGUGAGUAACGCGUAUCCAACCUUCCCCUUAGUAGGGCAUAGCCCGGUGAAAAUCGGAUUAAUACCCUAUGUUGUGUCAUGAGGACAUCUGAAUAACACUAAAGAUUUAUCGCUAAGGGAUGGGGAUGCGUCCGAUUAGGUAGUCGGCGGGGUAACGGCCCACCGAGCCCUCGAUCGGUAGGGGUUCUGAGAGGAAGGUCCCCCACACUGGUACUGAGACACGGACCAGACUCCUACGGGAGGCAGCAGUGAGGAAUAUUGGUCAAUGGGCGUAAGCCUGAACCAGCCAAGUAAGCGUGCAGGAUGACGGCCCUAUGGGUUGUAAACUGCUUUUAUACGGGGAUAAAGUGAGGGACGUGUCCCUUAUUGUAGGUACCGUAUGAAUAAGGACCGGCUAAUUCCGUGCCAGCAGCCGC